Molecule: ribosomal RNA, 432 nt
Filed under: uncultured bacterium
Lineage: Bacteria
Description: partial 16S ribosomal RNA
Rfam family: Bacterial small subunit ribosomal RNA
Source: RNAcentral
ACGAACGCUGGCGGCAGGCCUAACACAUGCAAGUCGAGCGAGAUCUUCGGGUCUAGCGGCGGACGGGUGAGUAACGCGUGGGAAUAUGCCCUUCUCUGCGGAAUAGCCUCGGGAAACUGAGCGUAAUACCGCAUACGCUCUUUGGGGGAAAGAUUUAUCGGAGAAGGAUUAGCCCGCGUUGGAUUAGGUAGUUGGUGGGGUAACGGCCUACCAAGCCGACGAUCCAUAGCUGGUUUGAGAGGAUGAUCAGCCACACUGGGACUGAGACACGGCCCAGACUCCUACGGGAGGCAGCAGUGGGGAAUCUUAGACAAUGGGGGCAACCCUGAUCUAGCCAUGCCGCGUGAGUGAUGAAGGCCUUAGGGUUGUAAAGCUCUUUCAGCUGGGAAGAUAAUGACGGUACCAGCAGAAGAAGCCCCGGCUAACUCCGUG